Long non-coding RNA from Gossypium arboreum, 476 nucleotides. RefSeq lists it as uncharacterized. The transcript has 3 exons. Lineage: Eukaryota; Viridiplantae; Streptophyta; Magnoliopsida; Malvales; Malvaceae. The record is from RefSeq and is a predicted model, not a curated record.
CAUCCUUUCAUCUUUUUUUUCUUCUUCCACAGAAAAUGGCAGCAAGGAGGGGGCUUGGAAAGAUCAAAAUAUCAGCCACUUAUAUUCUUUGCAAAUCAAGAAAAUCGAGAUUUGGGCUUAAAUCGAGAAAGUGUGUGAUUAAAGACAAAAAGAGAAUAAUUAGCCGAAAUUGCAUUUGAGUGUUUUCAGGUUAGCUCGGAGUUGGAGAUCGUCGGAGGCAGCAUCACUCUAUCAAGUCGCUACCUUUGGAAUAAUGAAGUAUAUAUUAGAAAUUUCAAGUGAGUGGCAUGUAUAGAGAUCUACUUGAUUGACAUGUAUUCUUUUGCUUUGGCCAAAUGUAUUGGCUUAAAUUGAAUUAUAUGUAUAUGGCUAUGAGAUGUGGCUCAUAUUGAUUAUGGCUUGUAAACCUAGCUAUUCAUGUCAUGUCUAAUGUUUAUAAUGUGAUUAUGUUCGUUUGCCAUGCAUAGUUAGUAAUA